RNAcentral lists this ribosomal RNA (492 nucleotides) under uncultured soil bacterium. Its description in RNAcentral is "bacterial SSU rRNA". It matches the Rfam family "Bacterial small subunit ribosomal RNA", at positions 26 to 518 of the family's 1533-position model. The record is from RNAcentral.
AGAUUGAACGCUGGCGGCAGGCCUAACACAUGCAAGUCGAGCGGCAGCGGGUCCUUCGGGAUGCCGGCGAGCGGCGGACGGGUGAGGAACACGUGGGAAUCUACCUAUUGGUGGGGGAUAACUUGGGGAAACUCAAGGUAAUACCGCAUUAGCCCUACGGGGGAAAGCAGGGGACCUUCGGGCCUUGCGCCGAUAGAUGAGCCCGCGUCGGAUUAGCUAGUUGGUAGGGUAAAGCCUACAAGGCGACGAUCCGUAGCUGGUCUGAGAGGAUGAUCAGCCACACUGGGACUGAGACACGGCCCAGACUCCUACGGGAGGCAGCAGUGGGGAAUAUUGGACAAGUGGGGGAAACCCUGGAUCCAGCCAUGCCGCGUGUGUGAAGAAGGCCUUAGGUUGUAAAGCACUUUCAGUGGGAGAAGGCUUCUGGCUAAUAUCAGGUAGUACUUGACGUUACCACAGAAGAAGCACGGCUAAUUCGUAGCCAGCAGCCGC